This 468-nucleotide ribosomal RNA is filed under the name uncultured bacterium. RNAcentral describes it as "partial 16S ribosomal RNA". It matches the Rfam family "Bacterial small subunit ribosomal RNA", at positions 28 to 507 of the family's 1533-position model. The record is from RNAcentral.
GACGAACGCUGGCGGCGUGCUUAACACAUGCAAGUCGAACGGAAAGGCCCUGCUUUUGUGGGGUGCUCGAGUGGCGAACGGGUGAGUAACACGUGAGUAACCUGCCAUUGACUUUGGGAUAACUUCAGGAAACUGGGGCUAAUACCGGAUAGGAGCUCCUGCUGCAUGGUGGGGGUUGGAAAGUUUCGGCGGUUGGGGAUGGACUCGCGGCUUAUCAGCUUGUUGGUGGGGUAGUGGCUUACCAAGGCUUUGACGGGUAGCCGGCCUGAGAGGGGGACCGGCCACAUUGGGACUGAGAUACGGCACAGACCCCUACGGGAGGCAGCAGUGGGGAAUAUUGCACAAUGGGCGGAAGCCUGAUGCAGCAACGCCGCGUGCGGGAUGACGGCCUUCGGGUUGUAAACCGCUUUCGCCUGUGACGAAGCGUUAGUGACGGUAAUGGGUAAAGAAGCACCGGCUAACUACGUG